This is a non-coding RNA of Pelobates cultripes (western spadefoot toad), 162 nucleotides long. The record is from the annotation of a GenBank genome assembly. Lineage: Eukaryota; Metazoa; Chordata; Amphibia; Anura; Pelobatidae.
CAGCAGACACAUUCCAGCCAAUCAGCAGCAGACCCUCCCUCCCAGACCCGCCCACCUCCUGGACAGCAUCCAUUUUACAUGCUGCAUUCUUAGAGAGAUGUCCAGGAGGUAGGAGGGUCUGGGAGGGAGGGUCUGCUGCUGAUUGGCUGGAAUGUGUCUGCU